GUCCCAUCUUCCCUAACUGACUUAACACCGUCAACCUCUGGAACAAGGGGGACUUCAAUUCCACCUAUUCUUCCAAGAAAAAUUACCAAGCCUACUGGACCUGGAUCUACUCUGCAACCAACAAACCCCUCAAGGAAUACAGGAACCAGACCAUCUGCCAAGAGAAGCUUGCAUUAUCUAGAACAGCUGGAACCAAACACAAAGAAAAAAAGUCUCAGUCCAGCACAAGAAGUAAUGAUUGAAUUGGCAAGAGAAGAGCAUGCAUGGCUCAAACGUGAGCAUGAAUUAAGAGUUGAAAUCCUUCAGCUAGAAAUACAAACUGCACAAUACAAGGAAGAGGAAGCUCGUAGAUCACUUAACAAGGUCAAUGCUAAUUUGAAUUCAGAUCCUUAAACUAUCUAUUUCAUAUAUUACAAAUUAAUAAUUUGGAAUAAUAUAAAUGUGUAUUUAACUAUGCAUACCAUAACAUUCUUAGCUUAUCUACUUGUCUAC
Molecule: long non-coding RNA, 492 nt
Organism: Lytechinus pictus (painted urchin)
Lineage: Eukaryota; Metazoa; Echinodermata; Echinoidea; Temnopleuroida; Toxopneustidae
Exons: 3
Source: RefSeq, a predicted model, not a curated record